Molecule: ribosomal RNA, 208 nt
Filed under: uncultured bacterium
Lineage: Bacteria
Description: partial 16S ribosomal RNA
Rfam family: Bacterial small subunit ribosomal RNA
Source: RNAcentral
CGCGUAGGCGGCAAGGCAAGUCAGAUGUGAAAUCCCCGGGCUCAACCUGGGAAUUGCAUCUGAAACUGCAGUGCUUGAGUCCUGGAGGGGAUAGUGGAAUUCCCAGCGUAGCGGUGAAAUGCGUAGAUAUUGGGAGGAACACCUGCGGCGAAGGCGGCUAUCUGGACAGUGACUGACGCUGAUGCGCGAAAGCCAGGGGAGCGAACGG